This 492-nucleotide ribosomal RNA is filed under the name uncultured bacterium. RNAcentral describes it as "partial 16S ribosomal RNA". It matches the Rfam family "Bacterial small subunit ribosomal RNA", at positions 29 to 507 of the family's 1533-position model. The record is from RNAcentral.
AGUGAACGCUGGCGGUAGGCCUGACACAUGCAAGUCGAACGGCAGCACAGUAAGAGCUUGCUCUUACGGGUGGCGAGUGGCGGACGGGUGAGGAAUACAUCGGAAUCUACUUUUUCGUGGGGGAUAACGUAGGGAAACUUACGCUAAUACCGCAUACGACCUACGGGUGAAAGCAGUGGAUCUUCGGACCUUGCGCGAUUGAAUGAGCCGAUGUCGGAUUAGCUAGUUGGCGGGGUAAAGGCCCACCAAGGCGACGAUCCGUAGCUGGUCUGAGAGGAUGAUCAGCCACACUGGAACUGAGACACGGUCCAGACUCCUACGGGAGGCAGCAGUGGGGAAUAUUGGACAAUGGGCGCAAGCCUGAUCCAGCCAUACCGCGUGGGUGGAGAAGGCCUUCGGGUUGUAAAGCCCUUUUGUUGGGAAAGAAAAGCAGCAGGUUAAUACCCCGCUGUUCUGACGGUACCCAAAGAAUAAGCACCGGCUAACUUCGUG